GUCCUAAGAUGGGGCAGGACUUCAGUGAAUUUACAGUGGGUCAAUGUCUUGUCCUCAGAAACAAACAGCAGAAUGGCUCCAUCUCUGUUGAAGACUUCCAUCAACUAGAACCACGAGGGCUGAUGGACAGACCACAAGGCCAGUUUGUUCCAGUUCAAUGAUUAAAAGAACCACAGAUGACCAGGCACGGUGGCUCACGCCUGUAAUCCCAGCACUUUGGGAGCCCGAGAGACGGAGUUUCACCAUGUUAGCCAGGAUGGUCUCGAUCUUCUGACCUCGUGAUCCGCCCGCCUUGGCCUCCCAAAGUGCUGGGAUUACAGACGUGAGCCACUGCGCCCGGCCAAAACCCUGCUUUUAAUAAAGUGUGAAAUGGUAAAAAGAACCUCUCUUUUUUUUUAAGUUUUCUAUUUGUAUAAAUGUAUAGGGCAAAAGUAUCGUUUUGUUACAUGCAUAGAGUGUGUAGUGGUGAAUUCAGGGCUUUUCGGGAGAACCUCUCUUCUUACACAUCAGUGGAGUACUCACUGAUAACACUACGCUUAAUAGUAAUGUCGCCAUUAUUAGUGUUAUGACCCACUGAUAUAGAGACCUAUUUGACAACUAACAGGACUUUCUUAAAAGUCCAAAAAAGGAUCCGCUUUGAUAAUUCUGCUGGGAGAUCCAAGUGGGUGGGUGGAUCUGCUAGCACCACUCCUCAAGUGUUUCAAUGUUCAGUCUGGGGUAGAUCCAAUUAGCAGAGAAGAGUUUUUAUGCAAUGGCUUGGACUAGAGUUUGGAAUUUGGCAGUCAUCACUGGAAAAAUGAAUUUCUGCCUGUUCUGAAUCAAAACAAAACAAGCCAUGUGCAGUACACACCUGUAGUCCCAGCUACUUGGGAAGUGACUUGAGAGGAUCACUUGAGCCCAGGAGUUCCAGUCCAGCCUGAGCAACACAGUGAGACCCUCAUCUCUAAAAAGCAAAUAAAAAUAAAAAACACCAAAACAACCA
This 982-nucleotide non-coding RNA is filed under the name Pan troglodytes (chimpanzee). The record is from RNAcentral. Lineage: Eukaryota; Metazoa; Chordata; Mammalia; Primates; Hominidae.